AGACUGGGAUAACUCCGGGAAACCGGGGCUAAUACCGGAUAACUCAUUUCCUCGCAUGAGGAAAUGUUGAAAGGUGGCUUUUAGCUACCACUUACAGAUGGACCCGCGGCGCAUUAGCUAGUUGGUGAGGUAACGGCUCACCAAGGCAACGAUGCGUAGCCGACCUGAGAGGGUGAUCGGCCACACUGGGACUGAGACACGGCCCAAACUCCUACGGGAGGCAGCAGUAGGGAAUCUUCCGCAAUGGACGAAAGUCUGACGGAGCAACGCCGCGUGAGUGAUGAAGGUUUUCGGAUCGUAAAGCUCUGUUGUUAGGGAAGAACAAGUGCCGUUCGAAUAGGGCGGCACCUUGACGGUACCUAACCAGAAAGCCACGGCUAACUACGUGCCAGCAGCCGCGGUAAUACGUAGGUGGCAAGCGUUGUCCGGAAUUAUUGGGCGUAAAGCGCGCGCAGGUGGUUCCUUAAGUCUGAUGUGAAAGCCCACGGCUCAACCGUGGAGGGUCAUUGGAAACUGGGGAACUUGAGUGCAGAAGAGGAAAGUGGAAUUCCAAGUGUAGCGGUGAAAUGCGUAGAUAUUUGGAGGAACACCAGUGGCGAAGGCGACUUUCUGGUCUGUAACUGACACUGAGGCGCGAAAGCGUGGGGAGCAAACAGGAUUAGAUACCCUGGUAGUCCACGCCGUAAACAAUAAUUGCUAA
This 700-nucleotide ribosomal RNA is filed under the name Bacillus sp. KK3. Its description in RNAcentral is "bacterial SSU rRNA". It matches the Rfam family "Bacterial small subunit ribosomal RNA", at positions 135 to 819 of the family's 1533-position model. The record is from RNAcentral. Lineage: Bacteria; Bacillati; Bacillota; Bacilli; Caryophanales; Bacillaceae.